RNAcentral lists this ribosomal RNA (371 nucleotides) under uncultured bacterium. RNAcentral's name for it is "bacterial SSU rRNA". It matches the Rfam family "Bacterial small subunit ribosomal RNA", at positions 527 to 896 of the family's 1533-position model. The record is from RNAcentral.
AGAGGUGCCAAGCGUUAGGCGGAAUCACUGGGCUUAAAGCGUGUGUAGACGGAGCGUUAAGUGCCUUGUGAAAUCCCACGGCUUAACCGUGGAACUGCUGGGCAUACUGGCGUUCUUGAGCCAGCCAGGGGUCGUCGGAACAAACGGUGGAGCGGUGAAAUGCGUAGAUAUCGUUUGGAACGCCAAAGGCGAAAGCAGACGACUGGGGCUGAGCUGACGCUGAGGCACGAAAGCCAGGGGAGCAAACGGGAUUAGAUACCCCGGUAGUCCUGGCCCUAAACGAUGUCCACUGGAUCGUGGUUCCUCUGAAGGAUUCACGGUCGGAGCAAAAGUGUUAAGUGGACCGCCUGGGAAGUACGGUCGCAAGGCUA